Callorhinchus milii (elephant shark) is the source of this 198-nucleotide long non-coding RNA. RefSeq lists it as uncharacterized. The record is from RefSeq and is a predicted model, not a curated record. The transcript is spliced from 3 exons. Lineage: Eukaryota; Metazoa; Chordata; Chondrichthyes; Chimaeriformes; Callorhinchidae.
UCCUCACGUGUGCAGUUAACAUCUUGCAACAAGUUGAUUUGUGGCUAGCAUCUGUGACUGGAACCACAAAGUACAAUGUUGAACAGGGAAAUUCAUGUCUCAGCCACACAUUAUGGGUGAAUUGGAUGCCUGCUUACAAAACUUUGAGCAUUGUGAAGACUGCUUGCACAGGGAUUAUUAUCAGGUGUGUGGAGUAAG